Molecule: long non-coding RNA, 324 nt
Organism: Coregonus clupeaformis (lake whitefish)
Lineage: Eukaryota; Metazoa; Chordata; Actinopteri; Salmoniformes; Salmonidae
Exons: 3
Source: RefSeq, a predicted model, not a curated record
UGAGGCCACAUGGCUGUAGUGAAGGCUCUUCUCCUGAAGGGGACGCAUGUGGACACCAACACAAAAGAUGGCCUGACGGCCCUACACAGAACUGCAGGCCCCUCGUGGAAGAGAUGCCACUGGGCUUUGGAGCUCAGGUCCAACUCAAUGGAGGCAAGGCCCAGGAGACCCCGCUACACAUCGCUGCCAGGGUGAAGGAGGGGGAAAAGGUGGCUGAGAUGCUGCUGAAGUCAACGCAGAGCAGAGGAAUGAGGAGACAGCGAUGCAUGUUGCGGCUCGCCACGGAGGACUGCAAAUGAUGAGAGCCCUGAAAAAGGAGGGAGG